CAUGCCCCUCACCCCGCCCCCGACAUCCCUCCCACCGUGCUCAUGUACCUUCCAUCAGCGACCUUCUAUCGGCGCAAUUCCAGGAAUCCUCCAUUGUCGCCCGUGCGUCAUCGCCCCAUGCCCGUGCUCAUGCCCCCGCCCCCAACAUCCUCCAACCUGUGCCAUUCCAUCGGCGUUUGCCCCGCUCUCCGUCGAUGGAAGGUGACCGAUGCAGGGAUGGUCCGUGGCCACCCCAGCCAUCCUCGCCCUGCUCCCCACAAUCUCCUUCCCCUCCUCCGCUGCGUCUUCAUCCCUCCCCUCUAGCUCCCGCCUCGCCCGCGACCUCCACCGUCGCGUCUUCAUCCCUCCCCCCCGCCAACCCCGCUCCGCUUAAUCCUUGGCGCCCCUCGCUGCCCGCUCCCCCUCCAUGCCACGCCAGCUAGACCGCCCGUCGUGAGCUAGGGACUCUCGACCAUGGGGGACGGUGGUGCUGACGCCUCCUCCUCGCUGCCCCACCGCCCGGGGCUUUCUCCUACCUCACUGUCUUCUACAACUACGCCCUCGUCGCCACCCUACUCGACUUUGCUGUCAUGCAGUCCAUCAAGUUCUUCGUCAUAUGGUACAUGAGUCCACCCAUACACCCCCCAUUUCCACCCUGUCCGCAUCGCCCCGUCUAUUUCCUCCAAAUCGUUGAAUUGUCUUCUGAUGCCCGCUCCAAGCACUGAGGGAUCCGACACCGGCGACGUGUUCAUGGUGCAAGGGGCAUCCUACAGAAACCCAUAAGUGAAGAAAAGAACAUGCCAAAGAGAUGGGCCGCGAACGAUUACCUCUACUGGCCCGACUUCGGCGUCUUCCAUUGAGGAAUUGCCCGUCCUUUGAGUUGACUUCUCUUGCAGCCUCAUCAAGUUCGGAUUUUAGCAGGAUGAGACUUGAAGAUUCUACUCUUAGGAAAAUUCAUUGUCUGUGCUUCAGGUACCAUCUUCAAACUUGGGCUAACCUAUGUUUGGUGAUUGUAGCAAGCUAUUUAAUUUAGACAUUAUAUCUUUGAACUUGCUUAUCGAAGUGCUUUGAUCAACUGCCAUAUUGAACAUGUAAGUUGGUGAUUUAUCUUAUAACAACAGUGGAAACUACAUCUAUUUGAGCUUGAAGAGGAGCUGAAGACUAAUCCUCUGACCAAGUAUGUGUUGUAUCAGAUGAGAGGAGCAAGAAUUGGCGAGUCCAAGCUGUCGCAGUUGGUCCUGACAGGUUCGAGAGCCGGAAGGCUCUGUCAGAAAAGUGGAGGGGCAUGAGAGACGAUGGACUUUCAGCAGAAACCAACAUUCCUGGCUGUGUGUUUGUCCAUAUGAGUGGCUUCAUUGGGAGCAACAAGAUCAACGAGGGAGCAUUGGAAAUCACAAGAGCUACUCUGAAAUGUUGAUUCAACCACCAUCU
This is a long non-coding RNA of Zea mays, 1410 nucleotides long. RefSeq lists it as uncharacterized. The transcript has 4 exons. The record is from RefSeq and is a predicted model, not a curated record. Lineage: Eukaryota; Viridiplantae; Streptophyta; Magnoliopsida; Poales; Poaceae.